ACAAACUUGGUCAUUUAGAGGAAGUACAAGUCGUAACAAGGUUUCCGUAGGUGAACCUGCGGAAGGAUCAUUAUUGAAUAAACCUGGUAGGUUGUCGCUGGCUUCUCGGAGCAUGUGCACGCCCGCCAUCUUUAUCCAUCCACCUGUGCACUCAUUGUAGUCCAAAGAGAUGAACGCGGCAGAGCCUCGAUAGGUCGAUCUGGCCUAUCGGAUGUGGGGAAUUGCCUUGCGUCAAGCUUGGCUUUCCUCCGAAGCCUGUAGUUCACUCUUUCGACUAUGUUUUUCAUUAUACCAUGUAGCAUGUUGCAGAAUGCAUCAAAUGGGCCUCUGUGCCUGUAAUUAUCAAUACAACUUUCAGCAACGGAUCUCUUGGCUCUCGCAUCGAUGAAGAACGCAGC
Molecule: unclassified non-coding RNA, 398 nt
Filed under: uncultured fungus
Lineage: Eukaryota; Fungi
Description: partial contains small subunit ribosomal RNA, internal transcribed spacer 1, and 5.8S ribosomal RNA
Rfam family: Eukaryotic small subunit ribosomal RNA (bases 1-73)
Source: RNAcentral